RNAcentral lists this ribosomal RNA (396 nucleotides) under uncultured bacterium. RNAcentral describes it as "partial 16S ribosomal RNA". It matches the Rfam family "Bacterial small subunit ribosomal RNA", at positions 523 to 918 of the family's 1533-position model. The record is from RNAcentral.
AUACGUAGGGAGCGAGCGUUAUCCGGAUUUAUUGGGUGUAAAGGGUGCGUAGACGGGUUUGCAAGUUAGUUGUGAAAUCCCUCGGCUUAACUGAGGAACUGCAACUAAAACUGUAAAUCUUGAGUGCAGGAGAGGUAAGUGGAAUUCCUAGUGUAGCGGUGAAAUGCGUAGAUAUUAGGAGGAACACCAGUGGCGAAGGCGACUUACUGGACUGUAACUGACGUUGAGGCACGAAAGUGUGGGGAGCAAACAGGAUUAGAUACCCUGGUAGUCCACACCGUAAACGAUGGAUACUAGGUGUAGGAGAUAUUAAGUCUUCUGUGCCGUCGCAAACGCAAUAAGUAUCCCACCUGGGGAGUACGGCCGCAAGGUUGAAACUCAAAUGAAUUGACGGGG